UCUGGCUUCAAGUGAUUCUCGUGGACUACAGAUAUUGAAAGAGAAGAGAAAUGAAAUUCUGACUGUAAGAAUAUAAGUAAGGGGCCGGGCACGGUGAUGCACGCUUAUAAUCUCAGCACUUUGGAAGGCCAGGGCUGGCGGAUCCCAUGAGCCCAGGAGUUCGAGACCAGCCUGGGCAACAUAGUGAGACCCUGUCUCUACAAAAAAUUAGCUGGGUGUGGUGGUACUCACCUGUCCCAGCUAUCUGGAAGGCCAAGGUGGGAGGUCAAGGCUGCAGUGAGCCAUGAUUGCGACACUGCAUUCUAGCCUGGGUGACAGAGUGAGACCCUGUUUCAAUUAAAAAAAAUAUAUAGAUAGAUAGAUAGAUUUAUAUGGCCCUAGAAUACUUUAGCUAUCAAGUGUAACCAGUAAUUUUA
RNAcentral lists this long non-coding RNA (416 nucleotides) under Pan troglodytes (chimpanzee). Its description in RNAcentral is "long non-coding RNA NONPTRT001872". The record is from RNAcentral. Lineage: Eukaryota; Metazoa; Chordata; Mammalia; Primates; Hominidae.